RNAcentral lists this small RNA (148 nucleotides) under Macaca fascicularis (crab-eating macaque). RNAcentral describes it as "Metazoan signal recognition particle RNA (ENSMFAG00000062323.1)". The record is from Rfam by way of RNAcentral. Lineage: Eukaryota; Metazoa; Chordata; Mammalia; Primates; Cercopithecidae.
GCUGAGCGUGGUGGUGCAUGCCUGUAGUCCCAGCUACUUGGGAGGCUGAGGUGGGAGGAUCGCUUGAGCCCAGGAGGUUAAGGCUGCAGUGAGCCAUGACUGUGCCACUGCAUUCCAGCUUGGGCAACAAAGUGAGACCCUGUCUUUU